RNAcentral lists this ribosomal RNA (607 nucleotides) under Debaryomyces hansenii. RNAcentral describes it as "LSU rRNA". It matches the Rfam family "Eukaryotic large subunit ribosomal RNA", at positions 38 to 660 of the family's 3401-position model. Lineage: Eukaryota; Fungi; Ascomycota; Pichiomycetes; Serinales; Debaryomycetaceae. The record is from RNAcentral.
GCAUAUCAAUAAGCGGAGGAAAAGAAACCAACAGGGAUUGCCUUAGUAACGGCGAGUGAAGCGGCAAAAGCUCAAAUUUGAAAUCUGGCACCUUCGGUGUCCGAGUUGUAAUUUGAAGAAGGUAACUUUGGAGUUGGCUCUUGUCUAUGUUCCUUGGAACAGGACGUCACAGAGGGUGAGAAUCCCGUGCGAUGAGAUGCCCAAUUCUAUGUAAAGUGCUUUCGAAGAGUCGAGUUGUUUGGGAAUGCAGCUCUAAGUGGGUGGUAAAUUCCAUCUAAAGCUAAAUAUUGGCGAGAGACCGAUAGCGAACAAGUACAGUGAUGGAAAGAUGAAAAGAACUUUGAAAAGAGAGUGAAAAAGUACGUGAAAUUGUUGAAAGGGAAGGGCUUGAGAUCAGACUUGGUAUUUUGCGAUCCUUUCCUUCUUGGUUGGGUUCCUCGCAGCUUACUGGGCCAGCAUCGGUUUGGAUGGUAGGAUAAUGACUAAGGAAUGUGGCUCUACUUCGGUGGAGUGUUAUAGCCUUGGUUGAUACUGCCUGUCUAGACCGAGGACUGCGUCUUUUGACUAGGAUGUUGGCAUAAUGAUCUUAAGCCACCCGUCUUGAAAC